GACGAACGCUGGCGGCGUGCUUAACACAUGCAAGUCGAGCGGUAAGGCCCUUUCGGGGGUACGACGAGCGGCGAACGGGUGAGUAACACGUGGGUGACCUGCCCUUAGCUCUGGGAUAAGCCUGGGAAACUGGGUCUAAUACCGGAUAUGACUCCAUGACGCAUGUUGUGGGGUGGAAAGCCUUGUGCGGCUAGGGAUGGGCCCGCGGCCUAUCAGCUUGUUGGUGGGGUGAUGGCCUACCAAGGCGACGACGGGUAGCCGGCCUGAGAGGGCGACCGGCCACACUGGGACUGAGACACGGCCCAGACUCCUACGGGAGGCAGCAGUGGGGAAUCUUGCGCAAUGGGCGAAAGCCUGACGCAGCGACGCCGCGUGAGGGAUGACGGCCUC
RNAcentral lists this ribosomal RNA (390 nucleotides) under uncultured bacterium. Its description in RNAcentral is "bacterial SSU rRNA". It matches the Rfam family "Bacterial small subunit ribosomal RNA", at positions 28 to 418 of the family's 1533-position model. The record is from RNAcentral.